GGGUUGUGAGGUUAAGCGACUAAGCGUACACGGUGGAUGCCCUGGCAGUCAGAGGCGAUGAAGGACGUGCUAAUCUGCGAUAAGCGUCGGUAAGGUGAUAUGAACCGUUAUAACCGGCGAUUUCCGAAUGGGGAAACCCAGUGUGAUUCGUCACACUAUCAUUAACUGAAUCCAUAGGUUAAUGAGGCGAACCGGGGGAACUGAAACAUCUAAGUACCCCGAGGAAAAGAAAUCAACCGAGAUUCCCCCAGUAGCGGCGAGCGAACGGGGAGGAGCCCAGAGCCUGAAUCAGUGUGUGUGUUAGUGGAAGCGUCUGGAAAGGCGCGCGAUACAGGGUGACAGCCCCGUACACAAAAAUGCACAUACUGUGAGCUCGAUGAGUAGGGCGGGACACGUGGUAUCCUGUCUGAAUAUGGGGGGACCAUCCUCCAAGGCUAAAUACUCCUGACUGACCGAUAGUGAACCAGUACCGUGAGGGAAAGGCGAAAAGAACCCCGGCGAGGGGAGUGAAAAAGAACCUGAAACCGUGUACGUACAAGCAGUGGGAGCCUCUUAAUGGGGUGACUGCGUACCUUUUGUAUAAUGGGUCAGCGACUUAUAUUCUGUAGCAAGGUUAACCGAAUAGGGGAGCCGAAGGGAAACCGAGUCUUAACUGGGCGUUAAGUUGCAGGGUAUAGACCCGAAACCCGGUGAUCUAGCCAUGGGCAGGUUGAAGGUUGGGUAACACUAACUGGAGGACCGAACCGACUAAUGUUGAAAAAUUAGCGGAUGACUUGUGGCUGGGGGUGAAAGGCCAAUCAAACCGGGAGAUAGCUGGUUCUCCCCGAAAGCUAUUUAGGUAGCGCCUCGUGAAUUCAUCUCCGGGGGUAGAGCACUGUUUCGGCAAGGGGGUCAUCCCGACUUACCAACCCGAUGCAAACUGCGAAUACCGGAGAAUGUUAUCACGGGAGACACACGGCGGGUGCUAACGUCCGUCGUGAAGAGGGAAACAACCCAGACCGCCAGCUAAGGUCCCAAAGUCAUGGUUAAGUGGGAAACGAUGUGGGAAGGCCCAGACAGCCAGGAUGUUGGCUUAGAAGCAGCCAUCAUUUAAAGAAAGCGUAAUAGCUCACUGGUCGAGUCGGCCUGCGCGGAAGAUGUAACGGGGCUAAACCAUGCACCGAAGCUGCGGCAGCGACACUAUGUGUUGUUGGGUAGGGGAGCGUUCUGUAAGCCUGUGAAGGUGUACUGUGAGGUAUGCUGGAGGUAUCAGAAGUGCGAAUGCUGACAUAAGUAACGAUAAAGCGGGUGAAAAGCCCGCUCGCCGGAAGACCAAGGGUUCCUGUCCAACGUUAAUCGGGGCAGGGUGAGUCGACCCCUAAGGCGAGGCCGAAAGGCGUAGUCGAUGGGAAACAGGUUAAUAUUCCUGUACUUGGUGUUACUGCGAAGGGGGGACGGAGAAGGCUAUGUUGGCCGGGCGACGGUUGUCCCGGUUUAAGCGUGUAGGCUGGUUUUCCAGGCAAAUCCGGAAAAUCAAGGCUGAGGCGUGAUGACGAGGCACUACGGUGCUGAAGCAACAAAUGCCCUGCUUCCAGGAAAAGCCUCUAAGCAUCAGGUAACAUCAAAUCGUACCCCAAACCGACACAGGUGGUCAGGUAGAGAAUACCAAGGCGCUUGAGAGAACUCGGGUGAAGGAACUAGGCAAAAUGGUGCCGUAACUUCGGGAGAAGGCACGCUGAUAUGUAGGUGAAGUCCCUCGCGGAUGGAGCUGAAAUCAGUCGAAGAUACCAGCUGGCUGCAACUGUUUAUUAAAAACACAGCACUGUGCAAACACGAAAGUGGACGUAUACGGUGUGACGCCUGCCCGGUGCCGGAAGGUUAAUUGAUGGGGUUAGCGGUAACGCGAAGCUCUUGAUCGAAGCCCCGGUAAACGGCGGCCGUAACUAUAACGGUCCUAAGGUAGCGAAAUUCCUUGUCGGGUAAGUUCCGACCUGCACGAAUGGCGUAAUGAUGGCCAGGCUGUCUCCACCCGAGACUCAGUGAAAUUGAACUCGCUGUGAAGAUGCAGUGUACCCGCGGCAAGACGGAAAGACCCCGUGAACCUUUACUAUAGCUUGACACUGAACAUUGAGCCUUGAUGUGUAGGAUAGGUGGGAGGCUUUGAAGUGUGGACGCCAGUCUGCAUGGAGCCGGCCUUGAAAUACCACCCUUUAAUGUUUGAUGUUCUAACGUUGGCCCCUGAUCGGGGUUGCGGACAGUGUCUGGUGGGUAGUUUGACUGGGGCGGUCUCCUCCUAAAGAGUAACGGAGGAGCACGAAGGUUGGCUAAUCCUGGUCGGACAUCAGGAGGUUAGUGCAAUGGCAUAAGCCAGCUUGACUGCGAGCGUGACGGCGCGAGCAGGUGCGAAAGCAGGUCAUAGUGAUCCGGUGGUUCUGAAUGGAAGGGCCAUCGCUCAACGGAUAAAAGGUACUCCGGGGAUAACAGGCUGAUACCGCCCAAGAGUUCAUAUCGACGGCGGUGUUUGGCACCUCGAUGUCGGCUCAUCACAUCCUGGGGCUGAAGUAGGUCCCAAGGGUAUGGCUGUUCGCCAUUUAAAGUGGUACGCGAGCUGGGUUUAGAACGUCGUGAGACAGUUCGGUCCCUAUCUGCCGUGGGCGCUGGAGAACUGAGGGGGGCUGCUCCUAGUACGAGAGGACCGGAGUGGACGCAUCACUGGUGUUCGGGUUGUCAUGCCAAUGGCACUGCCCGGUAGCUAAAUGCGGAAGAGAUAAGUGCUGAAAGCAUCUAAGCACGAAACUUGCCCCGAGAUGAGUUCUCCCUGACUCUUUAAGGGUCCUGAAGGAACGUUGAAGACGACGACGUUGAUAGGCCGGGUGUGUAAGCGCAGCGAUGCGUUGAGCUAACCGGUACUAAUGAACCGUGAGGCUUAACCUUACAACGCCGAAGGUGUUU
This 2931-nucleotide ribosomal RNA is filed under the name Escherichia coli. Its description in RNAcentral is "23S ribosomal RNA". It matches the Rfam family "Bacterial large subunit ribosomal RNA". Lineage: Bacteria; Pseudomonadati; Pseudomonadota; Gammaproteobacteria; Enterobacterales; Enterobacteriaceae. The record is from RNAcentral.